CGCCGAGCGCGCUGGUCGCACCGCUCCGGGGCUCUAGCGCUCAGUCGUGACUUGGCUGUCGUCGCGUGCGCGUCGGCGCGCGGUUGUUCCUGCCAGUGUUUGUGUUUGCUGUUCUACAGCCUGUGCAGGAUACAAGUACGUGGCAACAGAAUUUGACAAGAAACUUGAAGAACUAUCAGAAAAAGAGACUGGUCUGAGUGAUGUUGAAAUUACUAUCCUCCUCCGUGUUUUAACAAGAGCCACACUUUCUAUAAAGCGUUUCCAGAAACUUCUGCAUUGUGUUGUGCCAGAGACAAUUGUGCAGAAAGAACACAUACAAACUGUUGUCAUCUAGAUGCUUGUGAGACACGUAUAUGAACCACCUGAAAAGAGUAUUGCUGUCCUCCAGUGGCUCAUUGCUUUGCUGGAGAAUGAGGUCGCAGACAGACAAGCGAUUGACAGCUUUUAUCAUCAAAUUUAUUUUCUAUUAUUUGUUGAAAGUCUGGCACCGUGGGCUUCUAAAAUUGUAUAUACGUUGACUACACCAGAUGACGUUUCAAGAGCGAGGGUUGUAACAUUAUUUAGAUGCAUCCUCAAACAGACAGGAGCACCUCACAUUGAAGCAAUACUGGGCUUAUUUAAGUCUCUCUGUCCAGAACUUGUCCCAGAAGAUAUUUCAACUGUAAAUACACAUACAGCCUUUGGAAGAAUACCUGCUACGCUGUCAGAGGCUGUAAAUAAGAGCAGGUGUUGCAGAUCCAAGGCAAGAAGUUAAUCAUCAAACAGAUGCGGAACAUGUCACACUGUGCUCCUGCAUGAUCUGCUACUGCCAAUUUGCCCAUCUUGCCAAGGUGACAGUUGCUCAGGUGUUUGUGCUGUACUGGAUUUUCCUUAAAGAGGAUGGAAAGAUGUAGAACAAGAGCCACUUACAACUUGCUUUUAGCCACAAUUACCUUCAGUGAUUUCCUUUUAAAGGCAGUAGUUAUUGUUUUAAAUUAUAAAGUAAUGCACUAAUUAAGUUUUUUUUUGUGUGCAGUAUAAACUCGUUUCACGGCUUUUUUCUCAUUUGUAAGUACCUUGGGAGUUUACAUAGAUACUGAAUGUGAUGUCUGAGGGUGAGAUGUUAUGCCUGUCUUUCCCUGUAGACAUUGGUUUAUGUUCUCAGUGCAAUAAGAAAACCAGGAAAUAAGAAUUAUGAUGAUUUAGGUGAUGUUGUUAUGGGACAGUAUCUUUUUACAGAUACUGUGCCUCAUCCAUCAUUCAUAAAUUCACACACAUGCAACAUACCAUUUACUGCAUUUGUUUACAUUAAAUAAUAACAUAGAAUAAAGGUAUUGUGAUAGUAU
Molecule: long non-coding RNA, 1325 nt
Organism: Schistocerca piceifrons (Central American locust)
Lineage: Eukaryota; Metazoa; Arthropoda; Insecta; Orthoptera; Acrididae
Exons: 7
Source: RefSeq, a predicted model, not a curated record